This 468-nucleotide ribosomal RNA is filed under the name uncultured bacterium. RNAcentral describes it as "partial 16S ribosomal RNA". It matches the Rfam family "Bacterial small subunit ribosomal RNA", at positions 28 to 507 of the family's 1533-position model. The record is from RNAcentral.
GACGAACGCUGGCGGCGUGCUUAACACAUGCAGGUCGAACGGAAAGGCCCUGCUUUUGUGGGGUGCUCGAGUGGCGAACGGGUGAGUAACACGUGAGUAACCUGCCCUUGACUUUGGGAUAACUUCAGGAAACUGGGGCUAAUACCGGAUAGGAGCUCCUGCUGCAUGGUGGGGGUUGGAAAGUUUCGGCGGUUGGGGAUGGACUCGCGGCUUAUCAGCUUGUUGGUGGGGUAGUGGCUUACCAAGGCUUUGACGGGUAGCCGGCCUGAGAGGGUGACCGGCCACAUUGGGACUGAGAUAAGGCCCAGACUCCUACGGGAGGCAGCAGUGGGGAAUAUUGCACAAUGGGCGGAAGCCUGAUGCAGCAACGCCGCGUGCGGGAUGACGGCCUUCGGGUUGUAAACCGCUUUCGCCUGUGACGAAGCGUGAGUGACGGUAAUGGGUAAAGAAGCACCGGCUAACUACGUG